GACGAACGCUGGAGGCGUGCUUAACACAUGCAAGUCGAACGAUGAAAUGGAGCUUGCUCCAUGGAUUAGUGGCGAACGGGUGAGUUACACGUGAAUAACCUGCCCUUAAUUUUGGAAUAACCCAGGGAAACCUGGGCUAAUACCGGAUAAGUAAACCUGUGGCAUCACAUGGUUUUGGAAAGUUUUUCGAUUAAGGAUGGAUUCGCGGCCUAUCAGCUUGUUGGUGAGGUAAUGGCUCACCAAGGCGACGACGGGUAGCCGGCCUGAGAGGGUGAACGGCCACGCUGGGACUGAGACACGGCCCAGACUCCUACGGGAGGCAGCAGUGGGGAAUAUUGCGCAAUGGACGAAAGUCUGACGCAGCGACGCCUCGUGAGGGACGAAGGUCUUCGGAUUGUAAACCUCUUUCAGCAGGGACGAAGCGAAAGUGACGGUACCUGCAGAAGAAGCACCGGCUAACUAUGUGCCAGCCGCCGCAGUAA
This 482-nucleotide ribosomal RNA is filed under the name uncultured bacterium. RNAcentral describes it as "partial 16S ribosomal RNA". It matches the Rfam family "Bacterial small subunit ribosomal RNA", at positions 28 to 523 of the family's 1533-position model. The record is from RNAcentral.